AUCAGGUCCAGGAAGAUAUUUGGCUGAACUGGUAAGAUAGAUACAGGUCCUUUUGAAAUUUGUACUGUCAACAUGCUCAACUAACAGAUCAAGAUCUUCGACCUCCAUUAAUAGAUCAACAGCUUCAGGUUCGGCAUUGUGUUUCAUGUGAAAAGCAACAAUUUCUUGAACAAGUUCCAUCAAAUCAUCAAUGGGAGCCUCUUCACCCUGACGCUUGGUGUAUUCUUGAGCAAUCUCUCCAGCCAAGUUCCUUACAUACUCAUGACCCCAUGAACCAAUAUCGCCUUCUGAUCCUAAUAAUCUGUAUUUCAGGCUUUCCCGUUCUCCCUCUGCAGACAUUGUUAGUGCCAAUACUGAUAGUAUGUCUGCCAUGUAUUUCUUUAAAUCUGUGUCUGCCAUUGUUUCAUAAUAAGCUUUCAAAGUUCCAUAAUGCGGUCGAAGGAAUUUUAGAGGCUUUGGAACAGAAGUCAUGGAGCUUGUGGAGGUUCGAAUUUCCUGCCUCA
Molecule: unclassified non-coding RNA, 503 nt
Filed under: Hevea brasiliensis (rubber tree)
Lineage: Eukaryota; Viridiplantae; Streptophyta; Magnoliopsida; Malpighiales; Euphorbiaceae
Source: RNAcentral